UUAACUGUAGUUGAUGUUAAAUCUCUCUCCAUUUUAUUUCCUGGUAACAGAGUGUCAUCCAUGUCAGAAAGGUUGGAUUGAGUUUCACACAAAGUGCUAUCUGUUCUUGGAAGGUUUAAUUUAUAAAACCUGGGAGCAGAGUCAGCAGUACUGCAAAAACAAAGCUGCAGAUCUGGUUACUGUCGAUAACUUGCAGGAACAGGAGUUUCUCAGUAAUCACAGUACCUACUACUAUGACGAUCAUCAUGGAUACUGGUUGGGCCUACGUGAAGUUAACAACAUUUGGCAAUGGCCUGAUGGACGCAACGACACUCUGGGGUACUGGAUGGAUCAACCUUUUGGUGGCUCUGGUCCAUACGUUCUGUUGAUCCCUGGAAGACCUCCAACAAAGAGCUGGGACACGUCAGAUGCUGCGUUUCUUAACAGAUUAAUAUGUGAGCAA
Long non-coding RNA from Fundulus heteroclitus (mummichog), 442 nucleotides. RefSeq lists it as uncharacterized. Lineage: Eukaryota; Metazoa; Chordata; Actinopteri; Cyprinodontiformes; Fundulidae. The transcript has 3 exons. The record is from RefSeq and is a predicted model, not a curated record.